GGGGAUAUGGUUUAGUGGUAUAAUUUCUCAUUUGCAAUGGGUCAUUCAUCGACCCUUGAAAAUUGAGACGGUCGUGGGUUCGAUUCCCACUGUCUCCA
This is a non-coding RNA of Peziza echinospora, 98 nucleotides long. Lineage: Eukaryota; Fungi; Ascomycota; Pezizomycetes; Pezizales; Pezizaceae. The record is from the annotation of a GenBank genome assembly.